UUUCUCUUCUUCACUGUUUACUCUAUUUUUUUUGGAAAUAUCAAUAUUUUUUUACCUGUCAGUGUGCUUAAGUAUUAUUCUAGCGAAACGGACAAGUCCUGUGAUAUCUGCAUUUCCUAGACUUUCACAAAGGCAUACCAGGCCUUUCAGCUAUGAGCACUGGAGUUCUGUACCCUGCACUCUGCCUCAUAAACUUGUUGAUAACUUUCAUUGGUGAAUCCUUUUAUUCCUGAAAUUCCUAAUAGUACUUAAUUUUGUACACUGGAGAACUCUUCCCCACCUUGUGUUAUGUAUGUGCAUGUUCAUAGGGUAAUUCUUGAAGCCUGUUCUCAGGCAAGCAUCUCAUUUAAAAAUGUGGCUCAUUUUUGUAGGCUAAAGAUUGUAAGAACUGGCCUUAUUUACAUAUCAUAUGAAAGUAUCAUUCUGGCUUUAGUUUUAUUUUUGUCAUAUCCCUGAUAUCCAUAUCAAGGGACUUAGGUAUGACUGCAUUUUAUGUCCUUCGCUCAUAGCGUCACAUGUGUUGGACAUGUUUGCUAUUGUUUUUAAGAUGUGUGUCUGUUACUGCAUUUAGGGGCCACAAGGCAAGCCUGGCCUUCCUGGCCUUCCCGGUUCUGAUGGGCCUCCUGGUCACCCUGGGAAAGAGGGUCAGUCUGGGGAUAAAGGUGCAUUGGGGCCUCCAGGUCCUCAGGGUCCUAUUGGAUAUCCAGGUCCUCGUGGUGUAAAGGUAAGAUUUAAUUAUUGAAUUCCUCCUCUCACAUCUUUUGAAUAUAUGCAUGUGGGUAAUUCUUUAUAUUUUUCCUUUAGGGUGCUGAUGGUGUACGUGGACUCAAGGGAUCCAAAGGUGAAAAGGGUGAAGAUGGUUUUCCAGGAUUUAAAGGUGACAUGGGUCUUAAAGGUGACCGGGGAGAAAUUGGUCAGCCAGGUCCACGAGGAGAAGAUGGCCCAGAAGGUCCAAAAGGUCGAUCAGGUCCAUCUGGAGACCCAGGUGCUGCUGGUCCAGCUGGGGAAAAGGUCAGUAGCCAGAAAUCAACAUAAUCAUGCCAUUGCCUCAUAACAUAGAUGUAACCCAUAAUCUUCAUCACU
This 1083-nucleotide long non-coding RNA is filed under the name Taeniopygia guttata (zebra finch). RNAcentral's name for it is "lncRNA (ENSTGUG00000029250.1)". The record is from RNAcentral. Lineage: Eukaryota; Metazoa; Chordata; Aves; Passeriformes; Estrildidae.